RNAcentral lists this ribosomal RNA (247 nucleotides) under uncultured bacterium. RNAcentral describes it as "partial 16S ribosomal RNA". It matches the Rfam family "Bacterial small subunit ribosomal RNA", at positions 523 to 769 of the family's 1533-position model. The record is from RNAcentral.
AUACGUAGGUGGCAAGCGUUGUCCGGAAUUACUGGGCGUAAAGGGCGUGUAGGUGGACUGAUCAGUCGGGUGUGAAAUAUCCGGGCUUAACCCGGAGGGUGCAUCCGAUACGGUCAGUCUUGAGUGCAGGAGAGGGCAGUGGAAUUCCCAGUGUAGCGGUGAAAUGCGUAGAGAUCGGGAGGAACACCAGUGGCGAAGGCGACUAACUGGACUAUAACUGACGCUGAGGCGCGAAAGUGUGGGGAGC